CUCCUCCGGGGGACAGCAGUGGGGAAUAUUGCGCAAUGGGCGAACGCCUGACGCAGCGACGCCGCGUGAGGGUUGAAGGUCUUCGGAUCGUAAAUCUCUGUCAGCAGGGAAGAACGGUCACUGUGCUAAUCAGCAGUGAAUUGACGGUACCUGCAAAGGAAGCACCGGCUAACUCCGCGCCAGCAGCCGCGGUAAUACGGAGGGUGCGAGCGUUAAUCGGAAUUACUGGGCGUAAAGCGCUCGUA
RNAcentral lists this ribosomal RNA (245 nucleotides) under uncultured bacterium. Its description in RNAcentral is "partial 16S ribosomal RNA". It matches the Rfam family "Bacterial small subunit ribosomal RNA", at positions 336 to 573 of the family's 1533-position model. The record is from RNAcentral.